CCCUUAGAUGUUCUGAACCGCACGCGUGUUACACUGAUGCAUUCAACGAGCUUUACCUUGGCCGAGAGGCCUGGGAAAUCUUUUUAGCAUGCAUCGUGAUAGGGAUUGAUUAUUGCAAUUAUUAAUCAUGAACGAGGAAUUCCUAGUAAACGCAUUUCAUCAAAAUGCAUUGAUUACGUCCCUACCCUUUGUACACACCGCCCGUCGCACCUACCGAUUGAGUGGUCCGGUGAAGUCUCGAGAUUGUGGCAAUCUCCUUUAUUGGAGUUUGACUGCGAGAACUUGCCUAAACCUUAUCACUUAGAGGAAGGUGAAGUCGUAACA
RNAcentral lists this ribosomal RNA (324 nucleotides) under uncultured eukaryote. Its description in RNAcentral is "partial 18S ribosomal RNA". It matches the Rfam family "Eukaryotic small subunit ribosomal RNA", at positions 1470 to 1796 of the family's 1831-position model. The record is from RNAcentral.